This 274-nucleotide ribosomal RNA is filed under the name uncultured bacterium. RNAcentral's name for it is "partial 16S ribosomal RNA". It matches the Rfam family "Bacterial small subunit ribosomal RNA", at positions 523 to 796 of the family's 1533-position model. The record is from RNAcentral.
AUACGGAGGGUGCGAGCGUUAAUCGGAAUUACUGGGCGUAAAGCGUGUGUAGGCGGCCAUAUAAGUCGAGUGUGAAAUCGCUUGGCUCAACCAAGCAACUGCGCUUGAUACUGUAUGGCUUGAGUACGGAAGAGGAAAGUGGAAUGUAAGGUGUAGCGGUGAAAUGCGUAGAUAUUAUGAGGAAUACCGGUGGCGAAGGCGGCCCCCUGGCCCAAUACUGACACUGAGGUACGAAAGCGUGGGUAGCGAACGGGAUUAGAAACCCCGGUAGUCC